Molecule: ribosomal RNA, 403 nt
Filed under: uncultured bacterium
Lineage: Bacteria
Description: partial 16S ribosomal RNA
Rfam family: Bacterial small subunit ribosomal RNA
Source: RNAcentral
GACGAACGCUGGCGGCGUGCCUAAUACAUGCAAGUCGAACGCAGUGGGGACGGGUGAGUAACCCGUGGGUAACCUCCCAUCAGAGGGGAUAACCCUUGGAAACCGGUGCUAAACCGAUACUGAUGGAUGGCCCCGCGGUGCAUUAGCUAGUUGGUGAGUUAACGGCGCACCAAGGCCACGAUGCAUAGCCGACCUGAGGGGUUGAUCGGCCAAACUGGGACGGAGAAACGGCCCAGACGCCUACGGGAGGCAGCAGGAGGGAAUCUUCCGCAAUGGACGAAAGUCUGACCGAGAAACGGCGCGUGAGGGAAGAAGGUUUUCGGGUCGGAAAACUCUGUUGGUAGAGAAGCGGUAUCUAACCAGAAAGCCACGGCUAACUACGUGCCAGCCGCCGCGGUAAUUC